This 1372-nucleotide ribosomal RNA is filed under the name uncultured bacterium. RNAcentral's name for it is "bacterial SSU rRNA". It matches the Rfam family "Bacterial small subunit ribosomal RNA", at positions 28 to 1381 of the family's 1533-position model. The record is from RNAcentral.
GAUGAACGCUGGCGGCGUGCCUAAUACAUGCAAGUCGAGCGAACGGACGAGAAGCUUGCUUCUCUGAUGUUAGCGGCGGACGGGUGAGUAACACGUGGAUAACCUACCUAUAAGACUGGGAUCACUUCGGGAAACCGGAGCUAAUACCGGAUAAUAUUUUGAACCGCAUGGUUCAAAAGUGAAAGACGGUCUUGCUGUCACUUAUAGAUGGAUCCGCGCUGCAUUAGCUAGUUGGUAAGGUAACGGCUUACCAAGGCAACGAUGCAUAGCCGACCUGAGAGGGUGAUCGGCCACACUGGAACUGAGACACGGUCCAGACUCCUACGGGAGGCAGCAGUAGGGAAUCUUCCGCAAUGGGCGAAAGCCUGACGGAGCAACGCCGCGUGAGUGAUGAAGGUCUUCGGAUCGUAAAACUCUGUUAUUAGGGAAGAACAUAUGUGUAAGUAACUGUGCACAUCUUGACGGUACCUAAUCAGAAAGCCACGGCUAACUACGUGCCAGCAGCCGCGGUAAUACGUAGGUGGCAAGCGUUAUCCGGAAUUAUUGGGCGUAAAGCGCGCGUAGGCGGUUUUUUAAGUCUGAUGUGAAAGCCCACGGCUCAACCGUGGAGGGUCAUUGGAAACUGGAAAACUUGAGUGCAGAAGAGGAAAGUGGAAUUCCAUGUGUAGCGGUGAAAUGCGCAGAGAUAUGGAGGAACACCAGUGGCGAAGGCGACUUUCUGGUCUGUAACUGACGCUGAUGUGCGAAAGCGUGGGGAUCAAACAGGAUUAGAUACCCUGGUAGUCCACGCCGUAAACGAUGAGUGCUAAGUGUUAGGGGGUUUCCGCCCCUUAGUGCUGCAGCUAACGCAUUAAGCACUCCGCCUGGGGAGUACGACCGCAAGGUUGAAACUCAAAGGAAUUGACGGGGACCCGCACAAGCGGUGGAGCAUGUGGUUUAAUUCGAAGCAACGCGAAGAACCUUACCAAAUCUUGACAUCCUUUGACAACUCUAGAGAUAGAGCCUUCCCCUUCGGGGGACAAAGUGACAGGUGGUGCAUGGUUGUCGUCAGCUCGUGUCGUGAGAUGUUGGGUUAAGUCCCGCAACGAGCGCAACCCUUAAGCUUAGUUGCCAUCAUUAAGUUGGGCACUCUAAGUUGACUGCCGGUGACAAACCGGAGGAAGGUGGGGAUGACGUCAAAUCAUCAUGCCCCUUAUGAUUUGGGCUACACACGUGCUACAAUGGACAAUACAAAGGGCAGCGAAACCGCGAGGUCAAGCAAAUCCCAUAAAGUUGUUCUCAGUUCGGAUUGUAGUCUGCAACUCGACUACAUGAAGCUGGAAUCGCUAGUAAUCGUAGAUCAGCAUGCUACGGUGAAUACGUUCCCGGGUCU